Non-coding RNA from Vicia faba (fava bean), 192 nucleotides. Lineage: Eukaryota; Viridiplantae; Streptophyta; Magnoliopsida; Fabales; Fabaceae. The record is from the annotation of a GenBank genome assembly.
AUGUGGUUUGAGACAAAGUUCCACAGCUGGAAUUAUACACCUACUGUCAGAGUCUUUAUAGAACAGAUUGCAGACAUUCUAACAAAAUCUUUGCACUCGGGUCCUUUUGCUAGUUUGCAAGACAAGCUUGGAAUGAUUAAUGUGCAUUCCAAUUUGAGGAGAAUAAUAAUUGUGACAACAUUAGGAAAUUAG